UUCCAACCUUUGGGAAUUAGUUAGACAAAAAAAAGAUAAAUGAAAAAAAAAUAUUUGGGGUGUUCGGGCUUCCUGAAGGUAAUACCCGGGUAUUAGGUUUUGGGGCUAGGGUUAGGUUUAAGGUUUUUGGCGUUAGGGUUAAAAUCACUGUCCAAAACCUUUUAAGGAACAUGUUUCAGACCUUUGGGAGUUAGUUAGACAAAAAAAUAAGAAAAAGAAAAAAAAAAUAUUUGGGGUGUUCGGGUUUCCUGAAGGUAAUACCCGGGUAUUAGGUUAUGGGGCUAGGGUAAGGUUUAAGGUUUUUGGCGUUAGAGUUAAAAUCAGUGUCCAAAACCUUUUUAGGAACAUGUUUAAGACCUUUUGGAGUUGGUUACACCAAAAAAAAAUGUAAAAUGCAAAAAAAAAAAAUAUUUGGGGUUUUUGGGCUUCCUGAAGGUAAUACCCCGGUAUUAGGUUUUGGGGCUAGGGUUAGGUUUAAGGUAUUUGGCGUUAGAGUCAAAAUCACUGUCCAAAACCUUUUUAGGAACAUGUUUCAGACCUUUUGGAGUUGGUUACACCAAAAAAAUUUAAAAUGAAAAAAAAUUUUUUUUGGGUGUUCGGGCUUCCUGACGGUAAUACUAGGUUUCUGGGCUAGGGUAAUGUUUAAGGUUUUUGGCGUUAGGGUUAAAAUCAAUGUCCAAAACCUUUGUAGGAACUCUUUUCCAACCUUUGAGAGCAAGUUAGACCAAAACAAAAAGAAAAAAAAAUAUAUAUAUUUGGGGUGUUCGGGCUUCCUGAAGGUAAUACCCGGGUAUCAGGUUAUGGGGCUAGGGUAAAGUUUAAGGUUUUCUGGCGUGAGGGUAAAAAUCACUGUCCAAAACCUUUGUAGGAACUCUUUUCCAACCUUUGGGAAUUAGUUAGACAAAAAAAAAAAGAUGAAUGAAAAAAAAAUAUUUGGGGUGUUCGGGCUUCCUGAAGGUAAUACCCGGGUAUUAGGUUUUGGGGCUAGGGUUGGGUUUAAGGUUUUUGGCGUUAGGGUUAAAAUAACUGUCCAAUAUUUUUUAAGGAACAUGUUUCAGACCUUUGGGAGUUAGUUAGACAAAAAAAUAAGAAAAAAAAAAUAUUUGGGGUGUUCGGGUUUCCUGAAGGUAAUACCCGGGUAUUAGGUUAUGGGGCUAGGGUAAGGUUUAAGGUUUUUGGCGUUAGAGUUAAAAUCAGUGUCCAAAACCUUUUUAGGAACAUGUUUCAGACCUUUUUGAGUUGGUUACACCAAAAAAAAAAUGUAAAAUGCAAAAAAAAAAUAUUUGGGGUUUUUGGGCUUCCUGAAGGUAAUACCCGGGUAUUAGGUUUUGGGGCUAGGGUUAGGUUGAAGGUAUUUAGCUUUAGGGUUAAAAUCACUGUCCAAAACCUUUUUAGGAACAUGUUUCAGACCUUUUGGAGUUGGUUACACCAAAAAAAAUGUAAAAUGAAAAAAAAAAAAUUUGGGGUGUUCGGGCUUCCUGAAGGUAAUACCCGGGUAUUAGGUUAUGGGGCUAGGGUAAGGUUAAAGGUUUUUGGAGUUAGAGUUAAAAUCACUGUCCAAAACCUUUUUAGGAACAUGUUUAAGACCUUUUGGAGUUGGUUACACCAAAAAAAAAUGUAAAAUGAAAAAAAAAAAAUUGGGGUGUUCGGGCUUCCUGAAGGUAAUACCCGGGUAUUAGGUUAUGGGGCUAGGGUAAGGUUUAAGGUUUUUGGCGUUAGGGUUAAAAUCACUGUCCAAAACCUUUGUAGGAACUCUUUUCCAACCUUUUGGAGUUAGUUAGACCAAAAAAAAAAAAAGAAAAAUGAAAAAAAAAUAUUUGGGGUGUUCGGGCUUCCUGAAGGUAAUACCCGGGUAUUAGGUUAUGGGGCUAGGGUAAGGUUUAAGGUUUUUGGCGUUAGGGUUAAAAUCACUGUCCAAAACCUUUUUAGGAACAUGUUUCAGACCUUUUGGAGUUAGUUAGACCAAAAAAAAAUGUAAAAUGAAAAAAAUAUAUUUGGGGUGUUCGGGCUUCCUGAAGGUAAUACCCGGGUAUUAGGUUAUGGGGCUAGGGUAAGGUUUAAGGUUUUUGGCGUUAGGGUUAAAAUCACUGUCCAAAACCUUUUAGGAACAUGUUUCAGACCUUUUGGAGUUGGUUACACCAAAAAAAAAGAAAAUGAAAAAAAAAUAUUUGGGGUGUUCGGGCUUCCUGAAGGUAAUACCCGGUAUUAGGUUAUGGGGCUAGGGUAAGGUUUAAGGUUUUUGGCGUGAGGGUUAAAAUCACUGUCCAAAACCUUUGUAGGAACUCUUUUCCAACCUUUUGGAGUUAGUUAGACCAAAAAAAUGAAAAAUGAAAAAAAAAUAUUUGGGGUGUUCGGGCUUCCUGAAGGUAAUACCCGGGUAUUAGGUUUUGGGGCUAGGGUAAGGUUUAAGGUUUUUGGCGAUAGGGUUAAAAUCACUGUCCAAAACCUUUGUAGGAAGUCUUUUCCAACCUUUUGGAGUUAGUUAGACAAAAAAAAAAGAUAAAUGAAAAAAAAAUAUUUGGGGUGUUCGGGCUUCCUGAAGGUAAUACCCGGGUAUUAGGUUAUGGGGCUAGGGUAAGGUUUAAGGUUUUUGGCGUAAGGGUUAAAAUCACUGUCCAAAACCUUUUUAGGAACAUGUUUCAGACCUUUUGGAGUUGGUUACACCAAAAAAAAUGUAAAAUGAAAAAAAAAAUAUUUGGGGUGUUUGGGCUUCCUGAAGGUAAUACCCGGGUAUUAGGUUAUGGGGCUAGGGUAAGGUUUAAGGUUUUUGGCGUGAGGGUUAAAAUCACUGUCCAAAACCUUUUUAGGAACAUGUUUCAGACCUUUUGGAGUUGGUUACACCAAAAAAAAUGUAAAAUGAAAAAAAAAAAUAUUUGGGGUGUUCGGGCUUCCUGAAGGUAAUAGGUUUUGGGGCUAGGGUAAGGUUUAAGGUUUUUGGCGUUAGGGUUAAAAUCACUGUCCAAAACCUUUUAAGGAACAAGAUUCAGACCUUUUGGAGUUGGUUACACAAAAAAAAAAAGAUAAAUGAAAAAAAAAUAUUUGGGGUGUUCGGGCUUCCUGAAGGUAAUACCCUUCAGGUUUAAGUAUUAGGUUAUGGGGCUAGGAUUAGGUUUAAGGUUUUUGGCGUAAGGGUUAAAAUCACUGUCCAAUAUUUUUUAAGGAACAUGUUUCAGACCUUUUGGAGCUAGUUUGACCAAAAAAAAAAAGAAAAAGAAAAAAUAUAUAUUUGGGGUGUUCGGGCUUCCUGAAGGUAAUACCCGGGUAUUAGGUUAUGGGGCUAGGGUAAGGUUUAAGGUUUUUGGCGUUAGGGUUAAAAUCACUGUCCAAAACCUUUUUAGGAACAUGUUUCAGACCUUUUGGAGUUGGUUGACCAAAAAAAAAAGAAAAAGAAAAAAAUAUAUUUGGGGUGUUCGGGCUUCCUGAAGGUAAUACCCGGGUAUUAGGUUUGGGGCUAGGGUAAGGUUUAAGGUUUUUGGCGUUAGGGUUAAAAUCACUGUCCAAAACCUUUGUAGGAACUCUUUUCCAACCUUUGAGAGCAAGUUAGACCAAAACAAAAAGAAAAAAAUAUAUAUAUAUUUGGGGUGUUCGGGCUUCCUGAAGGUAAUACCCGGGUAUUAGGUUAUGGGGCUAGGGAAAGGUUUAAGGUUUUUGGCGUGAGGGUAAAAAUCACUGUCCAAAACCUUUGUAGGAACUCUUUUCCAACCUUUGGGAAUUAGUUAGACAAAAAAAAGAUAAAUGAAAAAAAAAUAUUUGGGGUGUUCGGGCUUCCUGAAGGUAAUACCCGGGUAUUAGGUUUUGGGGCUAGGGUUAGGUUUAAGGUUUUUGGCGUUAGGGUUAAAAUCACUGUCCAAAACCUUUUUAGGAACAUGUUUCAGACCUUUUGGAGUUAGUUAGACAAAAAAAUAAGAAAAAGAAAAAAAAAAUAUUUGGGGUGUUCGGGUUUCCUGAAGGUAAUACCCGGGUAUUAGGUUAUGGGGCUGGGUAAGGUUUAAGGUUUUUGGCGUUAGGGUUAAAAUCACUGUCCAAAACCUUUUUAGGAACAUGUUUAAGACCUUUUGGAGUUGGUUACACCAAAAAAAAAUGUAAAAUGAAAAAAAAAUAUUUGGGGUGUUCGGGCUUCCUGAAGGUAAUACCCGGUAUUAGGUUUGGGGCUAGGGUUAAGGUUUAAGGUUUUUGGCGUUAGGGUUAAAAUCACUGUCCAAAACCUUUUAGGAACAUGUUUCAGACCUUUUGGAGUUGGUUACACCAAAAAAAAGUAAAAUGAAAAAAAAAAUUUUUGGGUGUUCGGGCUUCCUGAAGGUAAUACGGUUUUAGGUUAUGGGGCUAGGGUAAUGUUUAAGGUUUUUGGCGUUAGGGUUAAAAUCAAUGUCCAAAACCUUUGUAGGAACUCUUUUCCAACCUUUGAGAGCAAGUUAGACCAAAACAAAAAGAAAAAAAUAUAUAUAUAUUUGGGGUGUUCGGGCUUCCUGAAGGUAAUACCCGGGUAUUAGGUUAUGGGGCUAGGGUAAAGUUUAAGGUUUUCUGGCGUGAGGGUAAAAAUCACUGUCCAAAACCUUUGUAGGAACUCUUUUCCAACCUUUGGGAAUUAGUUAGACAAAAAAAAAAAGAUGAAUGAAAAAAAAAUAUUUGGGGUGUUCGGGCUUCCUGAAGGUAAUACCCGGGUAUUAGGUUUUGGGGCUAGGGUUGGGUUUAAGGUUUUUGGCGUUAGGGUUAAAAUAACUGUCCAAUAUUUUUUAAGGAACAUGUUUCAGACCUUUGGGAGUUAGUUAGACAAAAAAAUAAGAAAAAAAAAAUAUUUGGGGUGUUCGGGUUUCCUGAAGGUAAUACCCGGGUAUUAGGUUAUGGGGCUAGGGUAAGGUUUAAGGUUUUUGGCGUUAGAGUUAAAAUCAGUGUCCAAAACCUUUUUAGGAACAUGUUUCAGACCUUUUUGAGUUGGUUACACCAAAAAAAAAAUGUAAAAUGCAAAAAAAAAAUAUUUGGGGUUUUUGGGCUUCCUGAAGGUAAUACCCGGGUAUUAGGUUUUGGGGCUAGUGUUAGGUUGAAGGUAUUUAGCUUUAGGGUUAAAAUCACUGUCCAAAACCUUUUUAGGAACAUGUUUCAGACCUUUUGGAGUUGGUUACACCAAAAAAAAUGUAAAAUGAAAAAAAAAAAAUUGGGGUGUUCAAGCUUCCUGAAGGUAAUACCCGGAUAUUAGGUUAUGGGGCUAGGGUAAGGUUAAAGGUUUUUGGAGUUAGAGUUAAAAUCAGUGUCCAAAACCUUUUUAGGAACAUGUUUAAGACCUUUUGGAGUUGGUUACACCAAAAAAAAAAUGUAAAAUGAAAAAAAAAAAUUUGGGGUGUUCGGGCUUCCUGAAGGUAAUACCCGGGUAUUAGGUUUUGGGGCUAGGGUAAGGUUUAAGGUUUUUGGUGUUAGGGUUAAAAUCACUGUCCAAAACCUUUGUAGGAACUCUUUUCUGACCUUUUGGAGUUAGUUAGACCAAAAAAAAAGAAAAAAGAAAAAAAUAUAAUUGGGGUGUUCGGGCUUCCUGAAGGUAAUACCCGGGUAUGAGGUUAUGGGGCUAGGGUAAGGUUUAAGGUUUUUGGCGUUAGGGUUAAAAUCACUGUCCAAAACCUUUUUAGGAACAUGUUUCAGACCUUUUGGAGUUGGUAACACCAAAAAUAAAUGUAAAAUGAAAAAAAAAAUAUAUGGGGUGUUCGGGUUCCCUGAAGGUAAUACCCGGGUAUUAGGUUUUGGGGCUAGGGUAAGGUUUAAGGUUUUUGACGUUAGGGUUAAAAUCACUGUCCAAAACCUUUUAAGGAACAAGAUUCAGACCUUUUGGAGUUGGUUACACCAAAAAAAAUGUAAAAUGAAAAAAAAUAUAUUUUGGGUGUUCGGGCUUCCUGAAGGUAAUACCCUUCAGGUUUAAGUAUUAGGUUAUGGGGCUAGGAUUUGGUUUAAGGUUUUUGGCGUAAGGGUUAAAAUCACUGUCCAAUAUUUUUUAAGGAACAUGUUUCAGACCUUUUGGAGCUUGUUUGACCAAAAAAAAAAAGAAAAAGAAAAAAUAUAUAUUUGGGGUGUUCGGGCUUCCUGAAGGUAAUACCCGGGUAUUAGGUUAUGGGGCUAGGUUAAGGUUUAAGGUUUUUGGCAUGAGGGUUAAAAUCAAUGUCCAAAACCUUUGUAGGAAGUCUUUUCCAACCUUUUGGAGUUAGUUAGACAAAAAAAAAAAAAGAUAAAUGAAAAAAAAAUAUUUGGGGUGUUCGGGCUUCCUGAAGGUAAUAGGUUUUGGGGCUAGGGUAAGGUUUAAGGUUUUUGGCGUUAGGGUUAAAAUCACUGUCCAAAACCUUUUAAGGAACAAGAUUCAGACCUUUUGGAGUUGGUUACACCAAAAAAAAUGUAAAAUGAAAAAAAAAAAUAUUUGGGGUGUUCGGGCUUCCUGAAGGUAAUACCCUUCAGGUUUAAGUAUUAGGUUAUGGGGCUAGGAUUAGGUUUAAGGUUUUUGGCGUAAGGGUUAAAAUCACUGUCCAAAACCUUUUUAGGAACAUGUUUCAGACCUUUUGGAGUUGGUUACACCAAAAAAAAAAAAAAAAGAAAAAAAAUAUAUAUUUGGGGUGUUCGGGCUUCCUGAAGGUAAUACCCGGGUAUUAGGUUAUGGGGCUAGGUUAAGGUUUAAGGUUUUUGGCAUGAGGGUUAAAAUCACUGUCCAAAACCUUUGUAGGAAGUCUUUUCCAUCCUUUUGGAGUUAGUUAGACAAAAAAAAAAGAUAAAUGAAAAAAAAAUAUUUGGGGUGUUCGGGCUUCCUGAAGGUAAUACCCGGGUAAGGUUUAAGGUUUUUGGCGUAAGGGUUAAAAUCACUGUCCAAAACCUUUUUAGGACCAUGUUUCAGACCUUUUGGAGUUGGUUACACCAAAAAAAAAAAAGAAAAAGAAAAAAAAAAUAUUUGGGGUGUUCGGGUUUCCUGAAGGUAAUACCCGGGUAUUAGGUUAUGGGGCUAGGGUAAGUUUUAAGGUUUUUGGCGUUAGGGUUAAAAUCACUGUCCAAAACCUUUUUAGGAACAUGUUUAAGACCUUUUGGAGUUGGUUACACCAAAAAAAAAUGUAAAAUGAAAAAAAUAUAUAUUUGGGGUGUUCGGGCUUCCUGAAGGUAAUACCCGGGUAUUAGGUAAUGGGGCUAGGGUAAGGUUUAAGGUUUUUGGCGUGAGGGUUAAAAUCACUGUCCAAAACCUUUGUAGGACCUCUUUUCCAACCUUUUGGUGUUAGUUAGACCAAAAAAAAACGAAAAAUGAAAAAAAAAUAUUUGGGGUUUUUGGGCUUCCUGAAGGUAAUAGGUUAUGGGGCUUUGGAAAGGUUUAAGGUUUUUGGCGUGAGGGUUAAAAUCACUGUCCAAAACCUUUGUAGGAAGUCUUUUCCAACCUUUUGGAGUUAGUUAGACCAAUAAAAAAAUGAAAAAUGAAAAAAAAAAAUUUGGGGUGUUCGGGCUUCCUGAAGGUAUUAGGUUUUGGGGCUAGGGUAAGGUUUAAGGUUUUUGGCGUUAGGGUUAAAAUCACUGUCCAAAACCUUUUUAGGAACAUGUUUAAGACCUUUUGGAGUUGGUUACACCAAAAAAAAAUGUAAAAUGAAAAAAAUAUAUAUUUGGGGUGUUCGGGCUUCCUGAAGGUAAUACCCGGGUAUUAGGUAAUGGGGCUAGGGUAAGGUUUAAGGUUUUUGGCGUGAGGGUUAAAAUCACCGUCCAAAACCUUUGUAGGAAGUCUUUUCCAACCUUUUGGAGUUAGUUAGACAAAAAAAAAAAGAUAAAUGAAAAAAAAAUAUUUGGGGUGUUCGGGCUUCCUGAAGGUAAUACCCGGGUAUUAGGUUAUGGGGCUAGGGUAAGUUUUAAGGUUUU
This 7857-nucleotide long non-coding RNA is filed under the name Xyrichtys novacula (pearly razorfish). Lineage: Eukaryota; Metazoa; Chordata; Actinopteri; Labriformes; Labridae. The record is from RNAcentral.